GUCUCCGUGCUGCUAUGUCUUCUGGGAUCAGCAGGACCCAGCCUCCUGCCCCGCCCUGGGACGCGGAGCGGUGACCUCCAGGCGCGGUAAAUCGCCGCGGCGCCUGGGAUCCAGCGGCGAGUGCACCGCCGCGGGGAGUCGUGUUCUCAGACUUGUCAGCAUUUCAGCACCCAGUUAUGACAUGUCACGUGGGCUACUACUGGUAAAAAUGUGAGCAUCCAGAUGAGUGCAUUUUUCACUUUUAAAGUGCCAUGAAGUCUACACCCAAAAGAGCACAUGCAGCGGUGGGAGCUGAACCAGGAAAAAUACAACAGGGGGAGCAGAACAUGUAGCACCCAGGACUGUGCACAUCAGGGUGCCUAAUGGGCAACUGCUGGUAGAAUGUCUGACAUCAACUGGGUCUAGUAUAUCAAUUUAAAUAUGUGUGUGCAUAUUACAUCUGUGUGUGCAUUUAUAUAGAAAAAAUAGUCAACC
Molecule: long non-coding RNA, 474 nt
Filed under: Pongo abelii (Sumatran orangutan)
Lineage: Eukaryota; Metazoa; Chordata; Mammalia; Primates; Hominidae
Description: lncRNA (ENSPPYG00000037782.1)
Source: RNAcentral